CCCUUAGAUGUUCUGGGCUGCACGCGUGCUACACUGAUUAUUUCAACAAGUGUUUUAACUGGAGAGUUUGCGUAAUCCUGAAAUGUUAUCGUGAUGGGAGUAGAGUAUUGUAUUUGUUAAUCUUUAACGAGGAAUUCCUAGUAAGUGUAGGUUUAUAAGUUGUUCUGAUUACGUCCCUGCCCUUUGUACACACCGCCCGUCGCUCCUACCGAUUGGGUGUGCUGGUGAAAUGUUCGGAUCGGCCGUUUGUCGCGGUUUCCGCGUCAUGUGGCUGAGAAGUUCAUUAAACCCUCCCACCUAGAGGAAGGAGAAGUCGUAACA
RNAcentral lists this ribosomal RNA (321 nucleotides) under uncultured eukaryote. Its description in RNAcentral is "partial 18S ribosomal RNA". It matches the Rfam family "Eukaryotic small subunit ribosomal RNA", at positions 1470 to 1796 of the family's 1831-position model. The record is from RNAcentral.